RNAcentral lists this transfer RNA (71 nucleotides) under Trachyrhamphus serratus. RNAcentral describes it as "tRNA-Thr". It matches the Rfam family "tRNA". Rfam says of the family: Transfer RNA (tRNA) molecules are approximately 80 nucleotides in length. The record is from RNAcentral. Lineage: Eukaryota; Metazoa; Chordata; Actinopteri; Syngnathiformes; Syngnathidae.
GCAUAAGUAGCUCAGCAAAGAGCGCCGGUCUUGUAAGCCGGCGGCCGGAGACUAAGACCCUCCCUUUUGCU